Molecule: ribosomal RNA, 810 nt
Filed under: uncultured bacterium
Lineage: Bacteria
Description: bacterial SSU rRNA
Rfam family: Bacterial small subunit ribosomal RNA
Source: RNAcentral
AGAGUUUGAUCCUGGCUCAGAUUGAACGCUGGCGGCAGGCCUAACACAUGCAAGUCGAGCGGUAGCACAGAGAGCUUGCUCUCGGGUGACGAGCGGCGGACGGGUGAGUAAUGUCUGGGAAACUGCCUGAUGGAGGGGGAUAACUACUGGAAACGGUAGCUAAUACCGCAUAAUGUCGCAAGACCAAAGUGGGGGACCUUCGGGCCUCAUGCCAUCAGAUGUGCCCAGAUGGGAUUAGCUAGUAGGUGGGGUAACGGCUCACCUAGGCGACGAUCCCUAGCUGGUCUGAGAGGAUGACCAGCCACACUGGAACUGAGACACGGUCCAGACUCCUACGGGAGGCAGCAGUGGGGAAUAUUGCACAAUGGGCGCAAGCCUGAUGCAGCCAUGCCGCGUGUGUGAAGAAGGCCUUCGGGUUGUAAAGCACUUUCAGCGGGGAGGAAGGCGGUGAGGUUAAUAACCUCAUCGAUUGACGUUACCCGCAGAAGAAGCACCGGCUAACUCCGUGCCAGCAGCCGCGGUAAUACGGAGGGUGCAAGCGUUAAUCGGAAUUACUGGGCGUAAAGCGCACGCAGGCGGUCUGUCAAGUCGGAUGUGAAAUCCCCGGGCUCAACCUGGGAACUGCAUUCGAAACUGGCAGGCUAGAGUCUUGUAGAGGGGGGUAGAAUUCCAGGUGUAGCGGUGAAAUGCGUAGAGAUCUGGAGGAAUACCGGUGGCGAAGGCGGCCCCCUGGACAAAGACUGACGCUCAGGUGCGAAAGCGUGGGGAGCAAACAAGAUUAGAUACCCUGGUAGUCCACGCCGUAAACGA